GUAGGUGGCAAGCGUUGUCCGGAAUUAUUGGGCGUAAAGCGCGCGCAGGCGGUUCUUUAAGUCUGAUGUGAAAGCCCACGGCUCAACCGUGGAGGGUCAUUGGAAACUGGAGAACUUGAGUACAGAAGAGGAAAGCGGAAUUCCACGUGUAGCGGUGAAAUGCGUAGAGAUGUGGAGGAACACCAGUGGCGAAGGCGGCUUUUCUGGUCUGUAACUGACGCUGAGGCGCGAAAGCGUGGGGAGCAAACAGGGAUUAGAUACCCUGGUAGUCCACGCCGUAAACGAUGAGUGCUAAGUGUAGGGGGUUUCCGCCCCCUUAGUGCUGCAGCUAACGCAUUAAGCAUCCGCCUGGGGAUACGGCCGCAAGGCUG
RNAcentral lists this ribosomal RNA (371 nucleotides) under uncultured organism. RNAcentral's name for it is "partial 16S ribosomal RNA". It matches the Rfam family "Bacterial small subunit ribosomal RNA", at positions 527 to 896 of the family's 1533-position model. The record is from RNAcentral.